GGGUUGUGAGGUUAAGCGACUAAGCGUACACGGUGGAUGCCCUGGCAGUCAGAGGCGAUGAAGGACGUGCUAAUCUGCGAAAAGCGUCGGUAAGGUGAUAUGAACCGUUAUAACCGGCGAUGUCCGAAUGGGGAAACCCAGUGUGAUUCGUCACACUAUCGUUAACUGAAUACAUAGGUUAACGAGGCGAACCGGGGGAACUGAAACAUCUAAGUACCCCGAGGAAAAGAAAUCAACCGAGAUUCCCCCAGUAGCGGCGAGCGAACGGGGAGCAGCCCAGAGUCUGAAUCAGCUUGUGUGUUAGUGGAACGGUCUGGAAAGUCCGACGGUACAGGGUGAUAGUCCCGUACACCAAAAUGCACAGGCUGUGAACUCGAAGAGUAGGGCGGGACACGUGGUAUCCUGUCUGAAUAUGGGGGGACCAUCCUCCAAGGCUAAAUACUCCUGACUGACCGAUAGUGAACCAGUACCGUGAGGGAAAGGCGAAAAGAACCCCGGCGAGGGGAGUGAAAAAGAACCUGAAACCGUGU
RNAcentral lists this ribosomal RNA (530 nucleotides) under Klebsiella pneumoniae subsp. pneumoniae. RNAcentral's name for it is "bacterial LSU rRNA". It matches the Rfam family "Bacterial large subunit ribosomal RNA", at positions 1 to 561 of the family's 2925-position model. Lineage: Bacteria; Pseudomonadati; Pseudomonadota; Gammaproteobacteria; Enterobacterales; Enterobacteriaceae. The record is from RNAcentral.